RNAcentral lists this ribosomal RNA (421 nucleotides) under uncultured bacterium. Its description in RNAcentral is "partial 16S ribosomal RNA". It matches the Rfam family "Bacterial small subunit ribosomal RNA", at positions 360 to 773 of the family's 1533-position model. The record is from RNAcentral.
AAUCUUCGGCAAUGGACGAAAGUCUGACCGAGCGAUGCCGCGUGAGUGAUGCAGGUCUUCGGAUCGUAAAGCUCUGUUAUUAGGGAAGAAAAGUAAUAAGAGGCAAUGCUUAUUAUGUGACGGUACCUAAUGAGAAAGCCACGGCUAACUACGUGCCAGCAGCCGCGGUAAUACGUAGGGGGCAAGCGUUGUCCGGAAUUAUUGGGCGUAAAGGGUGCGUAGGCGGCCUUUUAAGUCAGAUGUGAAAGCCCACGGCUUAACCGUGGGACUGCAUUUGAAACUGGAGGGCUUGAGUAUCGGAGAGGGUAGUGGAAUUCCCAGUGUAGCGGUGGAAUGCGUAGAUAUUGGGAGGAACACCAGUGGCGAAGGCGACUACCUGGACGAAAACUGACGCUGAGGCACGAAAGCUAGGGGAGCAAAC